UACAGAGGGGGCGAGCGUUGUUCGGAAUUACUGGGCGUAAAGGGCGCGUAGGCGGCCUGCUAAGUCGAACGUGGAAUCCCCGGGCUCAACCCGGGAACUGCGUCCGAUACUGGUGGGCUUGAAUCCGGGAGAGGGAUGUGGAAUUCCAGGUGUAGCGGUGAAAUGCGUAGAUAUCUGGAGGAACACCGGUGGCGAAGGCGGCAUCCUGGACCGGAAUUGACGCUGAGGCGCGAAAGCGUGGGGAGCGAACAGG
This 253-nucleotide ribosomal RNA is filed under the name uncultured bacterium. RNAcentral's name for it is "partial 16S ribosomal RNA". It matches the Rfam family "Bacterial small subunit ribosomal RNA", at positions 524 to 776 of the family's 1533-position model. The record is from RNAcentral.